Molecule: ribosomal RNA, 379 nt
Filed under: uncultured bacterium
Lineage: Bacteria
Description: bacterial SSU rRNA
Rfam family: Archaeal small subunit ribosomal RNA
Source: RNAcentral
UACCAGCUCUCCGAGUGGUGUGGAUGUUUAUUGGGCCUAAAGCAUCCGUAGCUGGCUAAGUUAGUCCCUUGUUAAAUCCACCGAAUUAAUCGUUGGAUUGCGGGGGAUACUGCUUGGCUAGGGGACGAGAGAGGCAGACGGUAUUUCCGGGGUAGGGGUGAAAUCCUAUAAUCCCGGGAAGACCACCAGUGGCGAAGGCUGUCUGCUAGAACGCGCCCGACGGUGAGGGAUGAAAGCUGGGGGAGCGAACCGGAUUAGAUACCCGGGUAGUCCCAGCUGUAAACGAUGCAGGCUAGGUGUUUGGACGGCCACGUGCCGUUCUAGUGCCGCAGGGAAGCUGUUAAGCCUGCCGCCUGGGGAGUACGGUCGCAAGACUGAA